RNAcentral lists this ribosomal RNA (457 nucleotides) under uncultured Thiobacillus sp. RNAcentral's name for it is "bacterial SSU rRNA". It matches the Rfam family "Bacterial small subunit ribosomal RNA", at positions 346 to 795 of the family's 1533-position model. The record is from RNAcentral. Lineage: Bacteria; Pseudomonadati; Pseudomonadota; Betaproteobacteria; Nitrosomonadales; Thiobacillaceae.
GGGCUGCAGUGGGGAAUAUUGGACAAUGGGCGAAAGCCUGAUCCAGCCACGCCGCGUGAGUGAAGAAGGCCUUCGGGUUGUAAAGCUCUUUCAGCUGGAAAGAAACGGUGAGCUCUAACAUAGCUUGCUAAUGACGGUACCAGCAGAAGAAGCACCGGCUAACUACGUGCCAGCAGCCGCGGUAAUACGUAGGGUGCGAGCGUUAAUCGGAAUUACUGGGCGUAAAGCGUGCGCAGGCGGAUUGUUAAGCAAGAUGUGAAAUCCCCGAGCUUAACCUGGGAAUGGCAUUUUGAACUGGCAGUCUAGAGUGUGUCAGAGGGGGGUGGAAUUCCACGUGUAGCAGUGAAAUGCGUAGAGAUGUGGAGGAACACCGAUGGCGAAGGCAGCCCCCUGGGAUAACACUGACGCUCAUGUACGAAAGCGUGGGUAGCAAACAGGAUUAGAUACCCCUGUAGUC